GACUUAGUGGUGUAGUGGUCAGCACGCUCGACGCGUAUUCGAGAGGUCCGUGGUUCGAGUCCCGGCGAAGGCA
Molecule: transfer RNA, 73 nt
Filed under: Stegodyphus mimosarum
Lineage: Eukaryota; Metazoa; Arthropoda; Arachnida; Araneae; Eresidae
Rfam family: tRNA
About the family: Transfer RNA (tRNA) molecules are approximately 80 nucleotides in length.
Source: Rfam by way of RNAcentral